Pelmatolapia mariae (spotted tilapia) is the source of this 384-nucleotide non-coding RNA. Lineage: Eukaryota; Metazoa; Chordata; Actinopteri; Cichliformes; Cichlidae. The record is from the annotation of a RefSeq genome assembly.
AUGACUCUCAUCACCAUCCUCAUCUGGACGCUGACCUGCUGCUGUUUUACAGGAUGCAGCAGUCAGGUGACUGUGACUCAACCUCCAGUAGAGACAUCUUCUCCUGGAAACACUGUCACUCUGACCUGUAGGACCAGCCAAGCUGUUGUCAGAUUUUAUGGUGGUGUGGAGGGUCCGGGCAUGUAUUGGUAUCAACAGAAAUCUGGACAGGCUCCAAAGCUCCUAAUAAAAUUAGCAAAAACGCUUGAGUCAGGAACACCAUCUCGAUUUAGUGGCAGUGGAAGCAGCUCUGACUUCUCUAUGACCAUCAGUGGAGUUCAGGCUGAAGAUGCAGCAGUUUACUACUGUCAGAGUUACCACAGCGGUAACGUGUUCACACAGUGA